This 756-nucleotide ribosomal RNA is filed under the name Entamoeba dispar. RNAcentral's name for it is "SSU rRNA". It matches the Rfam family "Eukaryotic small subunit ribosomal RNA", at positions 247 to 1022 of the family's 1831-position model. The record is from RNAcentral. Lineage: Eukaryota; Evosea; Mastigamoebida; Endamoebidae.
UGAGUUAGGAUGCCACGACAAUUGUAGAACACACAGUGUUUAACAAGUAACCAAUGAGAAUUUCUGAUCUAUCAAUCAGUUGGUAGUAUCGAGGACUACCAAGAUUAUAACGGAUAACGAGGAAUUGGGGUUCGACAUCGGAGAGGGAGCUUUACAGAUGGCUACCACUUCUAAGGAAGGCAGCAGGCGCGUAAAUUACCCACUUUCGAAUUGAAGAGGUAGUGACGACACAUAACUCUAGAGUUGAGUAAAAUCAAUUCUUGAAGGAAUGAGUAGGAGGUAAAUUCUCCUACGAAAUCAAUUGGAGGGCAAGUCUGGUGCCAGCAGCCGCGGUAAUUCCAGCUCCAAUAGUGUAUAUUAAAGUUGCUGUGAUUAAAACGCUCGUAGUUGAAUUAAAAUGUGAUUUUAUACAUUUUGAAGACUUUACAUUAAGUGAAGUUUCUAGAAAUGUUAAAUUAAAAUCAAAGAAGGAGACAAUUCAAGUAAUUGAGUUGUCAUUACUUUGAAUAAAAUAAGGUGUUUAAAGCAAAACAUUAUGUUAAUGAAUAUUCAAGCAUGGGACAAUGCUGAGGAGAUGUCAAUUAGACAUUUCGAGAGAAGGAUUAAAAGGAACAAUUGGGGUGAUUCAGAAAAUAACGGGAGAGGUGAAAAUCCAUGAUCGCUAUAAGAUGCACGAGAGCGAAAGCAUUUCACUCAACUGGGUCCAUUAAUCAAGAACGAAAGUUAGGGGAUCGAAGACGAUCAGAUACCGUCGUA